Molecule: RNA transcript, 1672 nt
Organism: Engraulis encrasicolus (European anchovy)
Lineage: Eukaryota; Metazoa; Chordata; Actinopteri; Clupeiformes; Engraulidae
Gene: cirbpb
Gene name: cold inducible RNA binding protein b
Exons: 8
Source: RefSeq, a predicted model, not a curated record
GGCGUGGCUCGCGCGUCACGCUUUUAUAAGCCCACGGUUAUCGCCCCUUCCGCCAUUUCCUCGUUAGUAAGCUGCCUUGGAAGUCCGCGAAGACUCAACUCCUGUAAAGAUGUCUGACGAAGGAAAACUUUUCGUUGGUGGGCUCAGCUACGACACCACUGAGCAGUCAUUGGAGGAAGCCUUCUCCAAAUAUGGGACCAUCUCAAAAGUUGAUGUGAUCAGGGAUCGGGAGACAGACCGCUCAAGGGGUUUCGGCUUUGUCACUUUCGAGAAUCCUGAAGAUGCCAAGGACGCCAUGUUUGCAAUGAACGGAAAGUCUGUUGAUGGCAGGAUGAUCAGGGUGGACGAGGCCGGCAAGUCUGGCGGCAGGUCCGGCGGAGGCUUCAGGAGAGGCGGCGGCGGAUUCCGAGGAGGCUUCCGUGGCGGACGUGGCAGAGGCGAGGGAGGCGGAAGCUACGGAGGUGACAGGAGCUACGGCGGAGACAGAAGCUACGGCGGGGACAGGAGCUACGGCGGAGACAGAAGCUACGGAGGUGACAGGAGCUACGGCGGCAGCGACAGGAGCUACGGCGGUGGCGGCGGAGGCGGAUACAGGAGCAGCGGCGGAUACUCCUCUGGCGGUGGCGGAUACAGGGGGAGCAGAAAUUCAGAAGCAGAAUGAAGGGAACAUGAGGAAGUGGAGGCUAUGAGGGCGGCUCCUACAGAGACAGCUAUGACAGUUAUGCUGCACACGAGUAAAAAAAACUUCCUGGUUUCAAGAUCAUCCCCCUGCGCUGGCUGUAUUUAAAAAGAUGUGCUCUUCGAAGAUUUUUUUUUUUUUUUUUAAAUGGUGUGUCCUCCUGGUUCCUGCAUUCCAUCGAUCAUACUACAGAAAUGAAUCCUUUUUUUGUGUGUGUGUUAAUUGAGUUUUGUUUGUUUUUUCGAAAGGGAUCUCCAUCCUUAAAGGCAGUGCGAGAUCCUGUUGGAGUAUUGUUGUGAAACGUGAAUGACCAUGUAAAAGCUGUAAAGUUGAAAAUGCUCUGCUCUGCUCCCAUCAUCACAGCCCAAUAGCUUCUGGAAAUCUAAAUUCAGUCCUUCAACCACCAUUCAGAAUGUCUAGUUAGCAGCAGGGCCAGCAAAUCAUUUAAGUUUUUGUAUUUUUCAACUGGAUUUUUUUUAUGUUGACCCUGCUAUUUUUUGGAGGAAAAAAGAAAUUGAAAAUCCAUGUCUUUGAGAGAAGCUGGACUAGCUGUGAUGUGUUCUGUGCGACUUUCUUUCUGUACUGCAUACCUUUACCUGUAGCAAGGCGGGUGUGCUCCCGAGGACUCGUAUGUUUCCCCGCAAACCUCCUUGGUAUGGCUAAAGAGUUUUGUGAACAUUCAGUAAGCAAAGAGUGAACUUUCUCUGGGAAGACAAUGCGACCUUUUUGGCGAUGGCAAAAAAAAAACACCCCCUCGGGUGGUGACCCGAGGCUCUUUACUCUUUGAACAUUGAAUUUUUAAAAAGUAUGCUCUUUGGUGGACUGAACUUAAAGAAAAUUCUUAAAAUGUCUCCAGUUGUGUUCGUUGAGGUGAUCUGUCCUGUGUACCAACACCUCGUAAGAAACAUUAAUUUCUUUUUACAGUUUCUUUUGUAAAAUUUUGGCUUCAUGGAGCCUAUUAAACAAGCCAUUGGAAAAAACCCUGAUCUUGUU